RNAcentral lists this ribosomal RNA (312 nucleotides) under Hydroides environmental sample. RNAcentral describes it as "SSU rRNA". It matches the Rfam family "Eukaryotic small subunit ribosomal RNA", at positions 595 to 906 of the family's 1831-position model. Lineage: Eukaryota; Metazoa; Annelida; Polychaeta; Sabellida; Serpulidae. The record is from RNAcentral.
UAGCGUAUAUUAAAGUUGCUGCAGUUAAAAAGCUCGUAGUUGGAUCUCGGGUAUCGUCUCGGUGGUCCUGUUCACGCAGGCACUGCCUUGAUGACCUAACCAAUGGUUGAACGACUCCGAGUGCCCUUCACUGGGUGCUCGUGGGUGGCCAUUGCGUUUACUGUGAAAAAAUUAGAGUGUUCAAAGCAGGCUUCUAUAGCUCGAAUAGUCGUGCAUGGAAUAAUGGAAAAUGACACUGGUGCAUUUCCGUUGGUCUCUGUGACUGGUGUAAUGAUUAAGAGGGACUGCCGGGGGCAUUGGUAUGGCGGGGUU